RNAcentral lists this ribosomal RNA (449 nucleotides) under uncultured bacterium. Its description in RNAcentral is "bacterial SSU rRNA". It matches the Rfam family "Bacterial small subunit ribosomal RNA", at positions 28 to 478 of the family's 1533-position model. The record is from RNAcentral.
GAUGAACGCUGGCGGCGUGCUUAACACAUGCAAGUCGAACGGGAAAUAUUUCAUUGAGACUUCGGUGGAUUUGAUCUAUUUCUAGUGGCGGACGGGUGAGUAACGCGUGGGUAACCUGCCUUAUACAGGGGGAUAACAGUCAGAAAUGGCUGCUAAUACCGCAUAAGCGCACAGAGCUGCAUGGCUCAGUGUGAAAAACUCCGGUGGUAUAAGAUGGACCCGCGUUGGAUUAGCUGGUUGGUGGGGUAACGGCCCACCAAGGCGACGAUCCAUAGCCGGCCUGAGAGGGUGAACGGCCACAUUGGGACUGAGACACGGCCCAGACUCCUACGGGAGGCAGCAGUGGGGAAUAUUGCACAAUGAGGGAAACCCUGAUGCAGCGACGCCGCGUGAAGGAAGAAGUAUCUCGGUAUGUAAACUUCUAUCAGCAGGGAAGAUAGUGACGGUAC